RNAcentral lists this ribosomal RNA (497 nucleotides) under uncultured bacterium. Its description in RNAcentral is "partial 16S ribosomal RNA". It matches the Rfam family "Bacterial small subunit ribosomal RNA", at positions 28 to 507 of the family's 1533-position model. The record is from RNAcentral.
GAUGAACGCUGGCGGCGUGCCUAAUACAUGCAAGUCGAGCGAACGGACGAGGCGCUUGCUUCUCUGAUGUUAGCGGCGGACGGGUGAGUAACACGUGUAUCACCUACCUAUAAGACUGGGAUAACUUCGGGACACCGGAGCUAAUACCGGAUAAUAUUUUGCACCGCAUGGUUCAAAAGUGAAAGACGGUCUUGCUGUCACUUAUAGAUGGAUCCGCGCUGCAUUAGCUAGUUGGUAAGGUAACGGCUUACCAAGGCAACGAUGCAUAGCCGACCUGAGAGGGUGAUCGGCCACACUGGAACGGAGACACGGUCCAGACUCCUACGGGAGGCAGCAGUAGGGAAUCUUCCGCAAUGGGCGAAAGCCUGACGGAGCAACGCCGCGUGAGUGAUGAAGGUCUUCGGAUCGUAAAACUCUGUUAUUAGGGAAGAACAUAUGUGUAAGUAACUGUGCACAUCUUGACGGUACCUAAUCAGAAAGCCACGGCUAACUACGUG